GGGAUUGCCUCAGUAACGGCGAGUGAAGCGGCAACAGCUCAAAUUUGAAAUCUGGCCCUAGGCCCGAGUUGUAAUUUGCAGAGGAUGUUUCUGGCGAGGUGCCUUCCGAGUUCCCUGGAACGGGACGCCAUAGAGGGUGAGAGCCCCGUACGGUUGGUCGCUAAGCCUCUGUGAAACUCCUUCGACGAGUCGAGUAGUUUGGGAAUGCUGCUCUAAAUGGGAGGUAUACGUCUUCUAAAGCUAAAUACCGGCUAGAGACCGAUAGCGCACAAGUAGAGUGAUCGAAAGAUGAAAAGCACUUUGAAAAGAGGGUUAAAUAGUACGUGAAAUUGUUGAAAGGGAAGCGCUUAUGACCAGACUUGGGCCGGUUGAUCAUCCAUCGUUCUCGGUGGUGCACUCUGCCGGCUCAGGCCAGCAUCAGUUUGGCCCGGGGGAUAAAGGUUUCGGGAAUGUGGCUUCCUUCGGGGAGUGUUAUAGCCCGUUGCGUAAUACCCUGGGCUGGACUGAGGUACGCGUUCUGCAAGGAUGCUGGCGUAAUGGUCAUCAGUGACCCGUCUU
RNAcentral lists this ribosomal RNA (558 nucleotides) under Caespitomonium squamicola. RNAcentral's name for it is "eukaryotic LSU rRNA". It matches the Rfam family "Eukaryotic large subunit ribosomal RNA", at positions 71 to 655 of the family's 3401-position model. The record is from RNAcentral. Lineage: Eukaryota; Fungi; Ascomycota; Sordariomycetes; Hypocreales; Bionectriaceae.